This is a long non-coding RNA of Paramisgurnus dabryanus, 1108 nucleotides long. RefSeq lists it as uncharacterized. Lineage: Eukaryota; Metazoa; Chordata; Actinopteri; Cypriniformes; Cobitidae. The record is from RefSeq and is a predicted model, not a curated record.
CAGGUGACUCUUUGGACCUUGAUUAGUUGUUCAGGUGUGCUUGGUUAGAGCUGGAGCUAAUCUCUGCGGGACAUCGAUACUCCAGGACCAUCCUUGCCUACCCUGGGGAUUAUUAAAAAAUUCUUCUCAAACUAUUAUUUCACACUAAUCUAAAAUGGUUAUGGUUUAAAUAAGAGGUAUGGUUGGGGAUUCUUGGAUUAAAGUGUUGAUCCAGGAAAAACAAAACAUUUUUGAUCCAGGAUUACAUCUUACUUGUGAAAUCACAGUAUUUAGUAAAGGUGCUCUUUCAACGCUCAAUAAACCAGUAAACUUAAUCCCAGUCCAUCAGUUAUUGUACCUACAAAUUUACUCAGUUAUUCAAAACUGUAAGUGCUACCUGACCCCCAAGAUCAAGUUUAUCAGAUUGAACCUGUUUUUACUUGAAUGUUGUUUUGUAAACUACAGGUAAACAAGCAAUAUCUUAUUCAGUUAGGGUCAAGGUAUUCACAAGAACAUGUUAGGACUUAUUCAAGCCGUUGAUUUUGAAAACUUAAUGCAACCCCUCAUGCAUAGUUUAGAUCCUGGGCAAGGGGGUGUAAUCAUUAACCAGGAGAAUAAAAGGAGCGCUCAAAUCUCAAACUCUCAGAAUGAGGACUCCUAUGUGAGAAUGGCGAAAACAAUCUAUCUGGUUUUUGUCCUGGUGAUUCUGACCACAAUUUUGUGCAACAGCCCAGUCUGUUCACAAAGAGGACCUGGGCAUGGACAAGCCAUAUGCGGUUGCAAAAUUCAUCCUAGGAAAGGUCUACAAUGCGUAAGGAAACCCCAUCCUAAAACUUGGGCUGAAACUGUGCGGUGUAUUUGCACUAACCACAAAAGUUAUUUAAAUGAUGACUCCAAAAGGCUGUUUCAGAAGUACUGCAACCGAACCAUUUCUACUCCUUUGUGAUCUGAUGGAGGUUUGCAGUUAUCAGCGUAUAUUCAAGUCUAUAAAUACACACUCCACUCCGCAUGUUUAAAAUAAUCAUAAUCACAAAAAAUAUCACUGAUUUUAAAUUUAAGCUUGAUUUUUACAAGAUUGUUUCGUUUGCAUUUUAAAUCAACAAAAUAAAAGUAUGUAAACUAUUUUCUG